This 73-nucleotide transfer RNA is filed under the name Microcaldota archaeon. Its description in RNAcentral is "tRNA-Pro". It matches the Rfam family "tRNA". Rfam says of the family: Transfer RNA (tRNA) molecules are approximately 80 nucleotides in length. Their secondary structure includes four short double-helical elements and three loops (D, anti-codon, and T loops). Further hydrogen bonds mediate the characteristic L-shaped molecular structure. tRNAs have two regions of fundamental functional importance: the anti-codon, which is responsible for specific mRNA codon recognition, and the 3' end, to which the tRNAs corresponding amino acid is attached (by aminoacyl-tRNA synthetases). tRNAs cope with the degeneracy of the genetic code in two manners: having more than one tRNA (with a specific anti-codon) for a particular amino acid; and 'wobble' base-pairing, i.e. permitting non-standard base-pairing at the 3rd anti-codon position. The record is from RNAcentral. Lineage: Archaea; Nanobdellati; Microcaldota.
GGGGGAGUGAGCCAAUCUGGUAUGCUGCCAGCUUUGGGAGCUGGUUAUCUGAGUUCAAAUCUCAGCUCCCCCA